CGCUGGCGGCGUGCCUAACACAUGCAAGUCGGAUGUGCCCGCAAGGGUGCAUGGCAGACGGGUGAGUAACGCGUGGGGAACCUACCUCUUCGUGGGGAAUAACGUUCCGAAAGGAAUGGUAAUACCGCAUGAGACCAUAGGCUGGGAUGCUUAUGGUGAAACCCGGGGACCGUAAGGCCUGGGGCAAGGAGAGGGUCCUGCGUCUGAUUAGCUAGUUGGUGGGGCAACGGCCUACCAAGGCAUCGAUCAGUAGCCGGCCUGAGAGGGUGAUCGGCCACACUGGAACUGAGACACGGUCCAGACUCCUACGGGAGGCAGCAGUGGGGAAUUUUGCGCAAUGGGCGAAAGCCUGACGCAGCGACGCCGCGUGGGUGAUGAAGGUCUUCGGAUCGUAAAACCCUGUCGUCAGGGACGAAGGUUGUAUGCCUAACAGGUGUGCAGCUUGACGGUACCUGGAGAGGAAGCCCCGGCUAACUCUGUGCCAGCAGCCGCGGUAAUACAGAGGGGGCAAGCGUUAUUCGGAAUUAUUGGGCGUAAAGGGCGCGUAGGCGGUGUCUUAAGUGAGAUGUGUAAUCCCCGAGCUUAACUUGGGAACUGCAUCUCAGACUGGGGCGCUAGAGUACUGGAGAGGGUGGUAGAAUUCCACGUGUAGCGGUGAAAUGCGUAGAGAUGUGGAGGAAUACCAGUGGCGAAGGCGGCCACCUGGACAGUAACUGACGCUGAGGCGCGAAAGUGUGGGUAGCAAACAGGAUUAGAUACCCUGGUAGUCCACGCUGUAAACGAUGAACACUUGGUGUGGCGGGAGUUGACCCCUGCCGUGCCGGAGCUAACGCGAUAAGUGUUCCGCCUGGGGAGUACGGUCGCAAGGCUGAAACUCAAAGGAAUUGACGGGGGCCCGCACAAGCGGUGGAGCAUGUGGUUUAAUUCGACGCAACGCGAAGAACCUUACCUGGGCUUGAACUGCUAGGGACCGGUACAGAGAUGUGCCUUUUCGCAAGAACCGUAGCAGAGGUGCUGCAUGGCUGUCGUCAGCUCGUUUCGUGAGAUGUUGGGUUAAGUCCCGCAACGAGCGCAACCCUUACCUGUAGUUGCCAGCGAGUCAUGUCGGGAACUCUACAGGGGCUGCCCGGGUUAACCGGGAGGAAGGUGGGGAUGAUGUCAAGUCCUCAUGGCCCUUAUGUCCAGGGCUACACACGUGCUACAAUGGGUGGUACAAACCGUUGCGAAGUCACGAGAUGGAGCUAAUCGGAGAAAGCCAUCCUCAGUUCGGAUUGCAGUCUGCAACUCGACUGCAUGAAGGUGGAAUCGCUAGUAAUCGUGUAUCAGAACGAUACGGUGAAUACGUUCCCGGGCCUUGUACACACCGCCCGUCACAUCACGAAAGCCGGGAGCACUUGAAGAGGGUGAGGUAACCGCAAGGAGCCAGCUCUCGAUGGUGAACUUGGUGAUUGGGGUGAAGUCGAAACAAGGUA
This 1472-nucleotide ribosomal RNA is filed under the name metagenome. RNAcentral's name for it is "bacterial SSU rRNA". It matches the Rfam family "Bacterial small subunit ribosomal RNA". The record is from RNAcentral.